Molecule: non-coding RNA, 126 nt
Organism: Pelobates cultripes (western spadefoot toad)
Lineage: Eukaryota; Metazoa; Chordata; Amphibia; Anura; Pelobatidae
Source: the annotation of a GenBank genome assembly
CGAAUUCCGGUCAGCUGACACAUCCCGGCCAAUCUCCUGCAGACCCUCCCUCCCAGACCCUCCUACUUCCUGGACAGCAGGAGGGAGGGUCUGCUGGAGAUUGGCCGGGAUGUGUCAGCUGACCGG